Small nuclear RNA from Bos grunniens (domestic yak), 105 nucleotides. NCBI's taxonomy places the organism in Eukaryota, Metazoa, Chordata, Mammalia, Artiodactyla, Bovidae. The record is from Ensembl.
GUGCACUUUGGCAUCACAUACACAAAAGUGGCAAUGAGAUGGAAAAGAUUAGCCUGGCCCCUGUGCAGGGAUGAUAUGCAAAUUCAUAGCGUUCCAUAUUUUUUU